UACGAAGGGUGCAAACGUUGCUCGGAAUUAUUGGGCGUAAAGCGCACGUAGGCGGAUUGCUAAGUCAGGGGUGAAAUCCUGGAGCUCAACUCCAGAACUGCCUUUGAUACUGAAGAUCUUGAGUUCGGGAGAGGUGAGUGGAACUGCGAGUGUAGAGGUGAAAUUCGUAGAUAUUCGCAAGAACACCAGUGGCGAAGGCGGCUCACUGGCCCGAUACUGACGCUGAGGCACGAAAGCGUGGGGAGCAAACAGG
This 253-nucleotide ribosomal RNA is filed under the name uncultured bacterium. Its description in RNAcentral is "partial 16S ribosomal RNA". It matches the Rfam family "Bacterial small subunit ribosomal RNA", at positions 524 to 776 of the family's 1533-position model. The record is from RNAcentral.